AUCAUGCUUGUUUUUCAUGUGUUGAUGUUUGUAGUCAUUUGUAACCAUAGUGGCUUCUUUCCCUCAGCUUUUGAAGUAUGACAAAGAAGUUGCAGCCUUCCAUGUUGUUAUUAGGGAAGAGGGUAUCAAGUUUCCACCAAGCUACCCAUACAGUGAAGAGCAUGCUAAACCAACCCAGUACAUGAACACUCGCUGUCCUGCCUGGUGUGAUCGCAUCCUUAUGUCACAUACAGCCCAAGAUUUAAUCCACAGGAGAGACGAUGGUGAGAAGAGUGUUGUUUACAACACAAUGGGUCCUAAUGUCUGUAUGGGAGAUCAUAAGCCUGUGUUCUUGUCCUUCUCACUGAAGACAAAUGACCACAUCUGAUACUUCUAAAUGGUAAGAAGUUUCACUGAGUGUGUGUGUUCUGUACUGCAUGUGCAAGUGCAGCUGAGUCGAUGUGGUAAUUCCAGUGAAUGGAUUCAGUGUGAGAGAGUGAGCACAGUAAUCUUUCUCUGGUCCCUGGAGAGCCAUAACCUUACUGGCCCAGUGGAGUCGGGAUAUGAACUAAGAGUAAUGCGUGCGGGACAUAAGAGAUCCUUUGUGCACAUCGUA
Molecule: long non-coding RNA, 595 nt
Organism: Astatotilapia calliptera (eastern happy)
Lineage: Eukaryota; Metazoa; Chordata; Actinopteri; Cichliformes; Cichlidae
Source: Ensembl